Molecule: unclassified non-coding RNA, 314 nt
Filed under: plant metagenome
Description: partial contains 5.8S ribosomal RNA, internal transcribed spacer 2, and large subunit ribosomal RNA
Rfam family: 5.8S ribosomal RNA (bases 1-105)
Source: RNAcentral
GGAAUGCGAUAAUUAAUGUGAAUUGCAGAAUUCAGUGAAUCAUCGAGUCUUUGAACGCACAUUGCGCCCCCUGGUAUUCCGGGGGGCAUGCCUGUCCGAGCGUCAUUGCUGCCCUCAAGCACGGCUUGUGUGUUGGGCUUCCGUCCCUGGCAACGGGGACGGGCCCAAAAGGCAGUGGCGGCACCAUGUCUGGUCCUCGAGCGUAUGGGGCUUUGUCACCCGCUCCCGUAGGUCCAGCUGGCAGCUAGCCUCGCAACCAAUCUUUUUAACCAGGUUGACCUCGGAUCAGGUAGGGAUACCCGCUGAACUUAAGC